This 128-nucleotide small nucleolar RNA is filed under the name Mastacembelus armatus (zig-zag eel). RNAcentral's name for it is "Small nucleolar RNA SNORA65 (ENSMAMG00000017661.2)". It matches the Rfam family "Small nucleolar RNA SNORA65". Rfam says of the family: U65 belongs to the H/ACA class of snoRNAs which are thought to guide the sites of modification of uridines to pseudouridines. The record is from Rfam by way of RNAcentral. Lineage: Eukaryota; Metazoa; Chordata; Actinopteri; Synbranchiformes; Mastacembelidae.
CCUGCCACUAUGCCUGUCUGUCAAGAGUGACUGAGUAUAAUCCAGUGGAGGCUCAGAUAGACCCAGCUUUAGGAAACAGGGCUGCCCACCUUAAUGGACAGUUCUGUGCCGAAAAGCCUGGAACACGU